RNAcentral lists this ribosomal RNA (496 nucleotides) under uncultured bacterium. Its description in RNAcentral is "partial 16S ribosomal RNA". It matches the Rfam family "Bacterial small subunit ribosomal RNA", at positions 29 to 507 of the family's 1533-position model. The record is from RNAcentral.
AUGAACGCUGGCGGCGUGCCUAAUACAUGCAAGUCGCGCGAACAGACGAGGAGCUUGCUCCUCUGACGUUAGCGGCGGACGGGUGAGUAACACGUGGAUAACCUACCUAUAAGACUGGGAUAACUUCGGAAAACCGGAGCUAAUACCGGAUAAUAUAUUGAACCGCAUGGUUCAAUAGUGAAAGACGGUUUUGCUGUCACUUAUAGAUGGAUCCGCGCCGCAUUAGCUAGUUGGUAAGGUAACGGCUUACCAAGGCAACGAUGCGUAGCCGACCUGAGAGGGUGAUCGGCCACACUGGAACUGAGACACGGUCCAGACUCCUACGGGAGGCAGCAGUAGGGAAUCUUCCGCAAUGGGCGAAAGCCUGACGGAGCAACGCCGCGUGAGUGAUGAAGGUCUUCGGAUCGUAAAACUCUGUUAUUAGGGAAGAACAAAUGUGUAAGUAACUAUGCACGUCUUGACGGUACCUAAUCAGAAAGCCACGGCUAACUACGUG